GACGAACGCUGGCGGCGUGCUUAACACAUGCAAGUCGAACGGAAAGGCCCUGCUUUUGUGGGGUGCUCGAGUGGCGAACGGGUGAGUAACACGUGAGUAACCUGCCCUUGACUUUGGGAUAACUUCAGGAAACUGGGGCUAAUACCGGAUAGGAGCUCCUGCUGCAUGGGGGGGGUUGGAAAGUUUCGGCGGUGGGGGAUGGACUCGCGGCUUAUCAGCUUGUUGGGGGGGUAGUGGCUUACCAAGGCUUUGACGGGUAGCCGGCCUGAGAGGGUGACCGGCGACCUUGGGACUGCGAUACGGCCCAGACUCCUACGGGAGGCAGCGGUGGGGAAUAUUGCGCAAUGGGCGGAAGCCUGAUGCAGCAACGCCGCGUGCGGGAUGACGGCCUUCGAGUUGUAAACCGCUUUCGCCUGUGCCGAAGCGUGAGUGACGGUAAUGGGUAAAGAAGCACCGGCUAACUACGUG
Molecule: ribosomal RNA, 468 nt
Filed under: uncultured bacterium
Lineage: Bacteria
Description: partial 16S ribosomal RNA
Rfam family: Bacterial small subunit ribosomal RNA
Source: RNAcentral